RNAcentral lists this ribosomal RNA (518 nucleotides) under Stephos longipes. RNAcentral's name for it is "SSU rRNA". It matches the Rfam family "Eukaryotic small subunit ribosomal RNA", at positions 47 to 567 of the family's 1831-position model. The record is from RNAcentral. Lineage: Eukaryota; Metazoa; Arthropoda; Copepoda; Calanoida; Stephidae.
AGCCAUGCAUGUCUGAGUACAAGCCUCACUAAGGUGAAACCGCGAAUGGCUCAUUAAAUCACACCUAAUCUACUGGAUAGUAAACAGUUACUUGGAUAACUGCCGUAAUUCUGGAGCUAAUACAUGCAUAAAGCCCCGACUCACGAAGGGGCGCUUUUAUUAGAUCAAAACCAAACGGCUUCSGCUGUACUUUUGGUGAUUCUGAAUAACUUUGGGCUGAUCGCAUAGCCUUGCGCUGGCGACAUAUCCUUCGAAGGUGUGCCCUAUCAACUGUCGACUGUGGCAUAGACGCCCACAGUGGUUUUGACGGGUAACGGGGAAUCAGGGUUCGAUUCCGGAGAGGGAGCCUUAAAAACGGCUACCACAUCUAAGGAAGGCAGCAGGCACGCAAAUUACCCAAUGACCGAAGGUCGAGGUAGUGACGAAAAAUAACGAUAGCGGUCUCAUCCGAGGUACGCUAAUUGGAAUGAGUACACUUUAAAACCGUCCCCGAGGAUCUAUUGGAGGGCAAGUCUGGU